RNAcentral lists this ribosomal RNA (460 nucleotides) under uncultured bacterium. RNAcentral describes it as "partial 16S ribosomal RNA". It matches the Rfam family "Bacterial small subunit ribosomal RNA", at positions 338 to 795 of the family's 1533-position model. The record is from RNAcentral.
CCUACGGGUGGCAGCAGUGAGGAAUAUUGGUCAAUGGGCGCGAGCCUGAACCAGCCAAGUCGCGUGAGGGAUGACGGUCCUACGGAUUGUAAACCUCUUUUGCCGGGGAGCAAGCGUGCGUUCGUGAACGCGCGUCGAGAGUACCCGGAGAAAAAGCAUCGGCUAACUCCGUGCCAGCAGCCGCGGUAAUACGGAGGAUGCGAGCGUUAUCCGGAUUUAUUGGGUUUAAAGGGUGCGUAGGCGGGAUGCCAAGUCAGCGGUAAAAAUGCGGUGCUCAACGCCGUCGAGCCGUUGAAACUGGCGUUCUUGAGUGGGCGAGAAGUAUGCGGAAUGCGUGGUGUAGCGGUGAAAUGCAUAGAUAUCAUACAGAACACCGAUUGCGAAGGCAGCUUACCAAACUAUAUCUGACGUUGAGGCACGAAAGCGUGGGUAGCAAACAGGAUUAGAUACCCUAGUAGUC